AUUGAAUUUGAUGAUGGUGGAAAUACUAGUCUCAAAGGUACCAUAGCUUCGUCAACAAAUUUUGACAUUUGUGACGACUGAUUCCCGAGAUUCUUUCUGCGACUCCAUUACUUAGAUUUGUGAUUAGAAUUGAGUUUUCGCUGAGAUCAUCAAUAGAUUUGAGAGAUGUGAAAAGAGGGGUUCUCUUUGACCAGGAGAGAGAGUGAGAUGGAGAAAUCUUAUGAUGAAGAUAUUACAGAGAAUCGCUUCUUUACUACUCUACAGAGUAAACAUAAGCAGCUAUAUCAUCAAGCAACUCAACAGAGAUGUAUGAUCUGUGUCCCAAGGACAGGUGUAUUUACAAGGAUAUCAUUAAGCCAAACAGACUUCGAGAAUCAUAUAUUGCGGCAGCAAGAUGAGCAACUCAACAUCUAUGAAACCCUCAAU
Lytechinus pictus (painted urchin) is the source of this 426-nucleotide long non-coding RNA. RefSeq lists it as uncharacterized. The transcript is spliced from 3 exons. The record is from RefSeq and is a predicted model, not a curated record. NCBI's taxonomy places the organism in Eukaryota, Metazoa, Echinodermata, Echinoidea, Temnopleuroida, Toxopneustidae.